RNAcentral lists this ribosomal RNA (437 nucleotides) under Staphylococcus aureus. Its description in RNAcentral is "partial 23S ribosomal RNA". It matches the Rfam family "Bacterial large subunit ribosomal RNA", at positions 461 to 901 of the family's 2925-position model. Lineage: Bacteria; Bacillati; Bacillota; Bacilli; Caryophanales; Staphylococcaceae. The record is from RNAcentral.
UAAGGCUAAAUACUCUCUAGUGACCGAUAGUGAACCAGUACCGUGAGGGAAAGGUGAAAAGCACCCCGGAAGGGGAGUGAAAUAGAACCUGAAACCGUGUGCUUACAAGUAGUCAGAGCCCGUUAAUGGGUGAUGGCGUGCCUUUUGUAGAAUGAACCGGCGAGUUACGAUUUGAUGCAAGGUUAAGCAGUAAAUGUGGAGCCGUAGCGAAAGCGAGUCUGAAUAGGGCGUUUAGUAUUUGGUCGUAGACCCGAAACCAGGUGAUCUACCCUUGGUCAGGUUGAAGUUCAGGUAACACUGAAUGGAGGACCGAACCGACUUACGUUGAAAAGUGAGCGGAUGAACUGAGGGUAGCGGAGAAAUUCCAAUCGAACCUGGAGAUAGCUGGUUCUCUCCGAAAUAGCUUUAGGGCUAGCCUCAAGUGAUGAUUAUUGGAG